This 170-nucleotide ribosomal RNA is filed under the name uncultured bacterium. RNAcentral describes it as "partial 16S ribosomal RNA". It matches the Rfam family "Bacterial small subunit ribosomal RNA", at positions 1330 to 1500 of the family's 1533-position model. The record is from RNAcentral.
AAUUGCUAGUAAUCGUAGGUCAGCAUACUACGGUGAAUAGUUCCCGGGCCUUGUACACACCGCCCGUCAAACCAUGAGAGUUGGCAACACCCGAAGUCGGUAGUCUAACCGCAAGGAGGACGCCGCCGAAGGUGGGGUUGAUGAUUAGGGUUAAGUCGUAACAAGGUAAC